RNAcentral lists this ribosomal RNA (484 nucleotides) under uncultured bacterium. Its description in RNAcentral is "partial 16S ribosomal RNA". It matches the Rfam family "Bacterial small subunit ribosomal RNA", at positions 29 to 523 of the family's 1533-position model. The record is from RNAcentral.
AGUGAACGCUGGCGGCGUGCUUAACACGUGCAAGUCGAACGAGAACGGGUUAUAGCUUGCUAUAAUUGUCAGCUAAGUGGCGCACGGGUGAGUAAUGUAUAGGUAAUAUGCCUCUUACUAAGGGAUAACAAAUGGAAACGUUUGCUAAUACCUUAUACUCCUUAUUAACAGAAGUUAAUAAGCGAAAGAUUUAUUGGUAAGAGAUUAGCCUGUAUUGUAUCAGUUAGUUGGUGAGGUAAUGGCUUACCAAGACUAUGACACAUAACUGGUUUGAGAGGAUGAUCAGUCACACUGGAACUGAGACACGGUCCAGACUCCUACGGGAGGCAGCAGUGGGGAAUAUUGCACAAUGGACGAAAGUCUGAUGCAGCAACGCCGCGUGGAGGAUGACACAUUUCGGUGCGUAAACUCCUUUUAUAUGAGAAGAUAAUGACGGUAUUAUAUGAAUAAGCACCGGCUAACUCCGUGCCAGCAGCCGCCGCGG